GCGGAACGGACAAAGCGGACAA
Molecule: unclassified non-coding RNA, 22 nt
Filed under: Arabidopsis thaliana (thale cress)
Lineage: Eukaryota; Viridiplantae; Streptophyta; Magnoliopsida; Brassicales; Brassicaceae
Source: RNAcentral